This 1412-nucleotide ribosomal RNA is filed under the name Enterobacter asburiae. Its description in RNAcentral is "bacterial LSU rRNA". It matches the Rfam family "Bacterial large subunit ribosomal RNA", at positions 1550 to 2925 of the family's 2925-position model. The record is from RNAcentral. Lineage: Bacteria; Pseudomonadati; Pseudomonadota; Gammaproteobacteria; Enterobacterales; Enterobacteriaceae.
UUAACGCUGAGGUGUGAUGACGAGGCACUACGGUGCUGAAGUAACAAAUGCCCUGCUUCCAGGAAAAGCCUCUAAGCAUCAGGUAACAUCAAAUCGUACCCCAAACCGACACAGGUGGUCAGGUAGAGAAUACCAAGGCGCUUGAGAGAACUCGGGUGAAGGAACUAGGCAAAAUGGUGCCGUAACUUCGGGAGAAGGCACGCUGAUAUGUAGGUGAAGCCCCUGCGGGUGGAGCUGAAAUCAGUCGAAGAUACCAGCUGGCUGCAACUGUUUAUUAAAAACACAGCACUGUGCAAACACGAAAGUGGACGUAUACGGUGUGACGCCUGCCCGGUGCCGGAAGGUUAAUUGAUGGGGUUAGCGGCAACGCGAAGCUCUUGAUCGAAGCCCCGGUAAACGGCGGCCGUAACUAUAACGGUCCUAAGGUAGCGAAAUUCCUUGUCGGGUAAGUUCCGACCUGCACGAAUGGCGUAAUGAUGGCCAGGCUGUCUCCACCCGAGACUCAGUGAAAUUGAACUCGCUGUGAAGAUGCAGUGUACCCGCGGCAAGACGGAAAGACCCCGUGAACCUUUACUAUAGCUUGACACUGAACACUGGUCCUUGAUGUGUAGGAUAGGUGGGAGGCUUUGAAGUGUGGACGCCAGUCUGCAUGGAGCCGUCCUUGAAAUACCACCCUUUAAUGGCUGGUGUUCUAACGUAGACCCGUAAUCCGGGUUGCGGACAGUGUCUGGUGGGUAGUUUGACUGGGGCGGUCUCCUCCCAAAGAGUAACGGAGGAGCACGAAGGUUAGCUAAUCCUGGUCGGACAUCAGGAGGUUAGUGCAAUGGCAUAAGCUAGCUUGACUGCGAGAGUGACGGCUCGAGCAGGUGCGAAAGCAGGUCAUAGUGAUCCGGUGGUUCUGAAUGGAAGGGCCAUCGCUCAACGGAUAAAAGGUACUCCGGGGAUAACAGGCUGAUACCGCCCAAGAGUUCAUAUCGACGGCGGUGUUUGGCACCUCGAUGUCGGCUCAUCACAUCCUGGGGCUGAAGUAGGUCCCAAGGGUAUGGCUGUUCGCCAUUUAAAGUGGUACGCGAGCUGGGUUUAGAACGUCGUGAGACAGUUCGGUCCCUAUCUGCCGUGGGCGCUGGAGAAUUGAGGGGGGCUGCUCCUAGUACGAGAGGACCGGAGUGGACGCAUCACUGGUGUUCGGGUUGUCAUGCCAAUGGCACUGCCCGGUAGCUAAAUGCGGAAAAGAUAAGUGCUGAAAGCAUCUAAGCACGAAACUUGCCCCGAGAUGAGUUCUCCCUGAGACUUUAAGUCUCCUGAAGGAACGUUGAAGACGACGACGUUGAUAGGUCGGGUGUGUAAGCGCAGCGAUGCGUUGAGCUAACCGAUACUAAUGAACCGUGAGGCUUAACCUUACAACGCCGAAG